GGAGGAGUGGCAGAGUGGUCGAAUGCGGCGGUCUUGAAAACCGUUGAGGCGCAAGUUUCCAGGGGUUCGAAUCCUCUCUCCUCCGCCA
This 88-nucleotide transfer RNA is filed under the name Candidatus Gygaella obscura. RNAcentral describes it as "tRNA-Ser". It matches the Rfam family "tRNA". Rfam says of the family: Transfer RNA (tRNA) molecules are approximately 80 nucleotides in length. Their secondary structure includes four short double-helical elements and three loops (D, anti-codon, and T loops). Further hydrogen bonds mediate the characteristic L-shaped molecular structure. tRNAs have two regions of fundamental functional importance: the anti-codon, which is responsible for specific mRNA codon recognition, and the 3' end, to which the tRNAs corresponding amino acid is attached (by aminoacyl-tRNA synthetases). tRNAs cope with the degeneracy of the genetic code in two manners: having more than one tRNA (with a specific anti-codon) for a particular amino acid; and 'wobble' base-pairing, i.e. permitting non-standard base-pairing at the 3rd anti-codon position. The record is from RNAcentral. Lineage: Bacteria; Pseudomonadati; Candidatus Omnitrophota.